This 586-nucleotide ribosomal RNA is filed under the name uncultured bacterium. Its description in RNAcentral is "bacterial SSU rRNA". It matches the Rfam family "Bacterial small subunit ribosomal RNA", at positions 338 to 916 of the family's 1533-position model. The record is from RNAcentral.
CCUACGGGAGGCAGCAGUGGGGAAUAUUGGACAAUGGGCGCAAGCCUGAUCCAGCCAUACCGCGUGUGUGAAGAAGGCUUUCGGGUUGUAAAGCACUUUAAGUAAGGAGAAAAAGAUUGUAGUUAAUACCUGCAAUCCGUGAUGUUACUUACAGAAUAAGGACCGGCUAAUUCCGUGCCAGCAGCCGCGGUAAUACGGAAGGUCCAAGCGUUAAUCGGAAUUACUGGGCGUAAAGCGCGCGUAGGUGGUUUUUUAAGUUGGAUGUGAAAGCCCUGGGCUCAACCUAGGAACUGCAUCCAAAACUAGAUGACUGGAGUACGAAAGAGGGAAGUAGAAUUCACAGUGUAGCGGUGGAAUGCGUAGAUAUUGUGAAGAAUACCAAUGGCGAAGGCAGCUUCCUGGUUCUGUACUGACACUGAGGUGCGAAAGCGUGGGUAGCGAACAGGAUUAGAUACCCUGGUAGUCCACGCCGUAAACGAUGACAACUAGCUGUUGGGAGACAAGAUCUUUCAGUGGCGCAGCUAACGCUUUAAGUUGUCCGCCUGGGGAGUACGGCCGCAAGGUUAAAACUCAAAUGAAUUGACGG